AGUCCCGAGGUGAUUUUCAUGUUGAAUUGCAAAUUCAAGGGAGCAGUUUUAAAGUUUCUGCCGGGGCUU
This 69-nucleotide transfer RNA is filed under the name Macaca tonkeana (Tonkean macaque). RNAcentral's name for it is "tRNA-Cys". Lineage: Eukaryota; Metazoa; Chordata; Mammalia; Primates; Cercopithecidae. The record is from RNAcentral.